AUGAAUUUUAGGACGUUCUUUUUAGAAGUCCGACCCUUUCAUUUUCUUACACCGUGCACACACUUCUUUUUUACACACACUUUUAACACCUUAGUAUAAGAAUGUAAUAGUCUCUUAAUUGAGCAUAAAUAAAAACA
Molecule: unclassified non-coding RNA, 137 nt
Filed under: uncultured Cystobasidium
Lineage: Eukaryota; Fungi; Basidiomycota; Cystobasidiomycetes; Cystobasidiales; Cystobasidiaceae
Description: sequence contains ITS1
Source: RNAcentral